ACAUAUACUGAUUCCCAAGGCGUAAUUUUUGUUGUUUUUCUCUGUCUAUUCCACAGUCUUCUGGAAGUUAAUCCGGAGCAGAAGGAGCAGUCAGAGAGCUGUUCUUCUUGUUGGCCUUUGUGAUUCCGGGAAAACGUUGCUCUUUGUCAGGUUGUUAACAGGCCUUUAUAGAGACACUCAGACGUCCAUUACUGACAGCUGUGCUGUAUACAGAGUCAACAAUAACAGGGGCAAUAGUCUGACCUUGAUUGACCUUCCCGGCCAUGAGAGUUUGAGGCUUCAGUUCUUAGAGCGGUUUAAGUCUUCAGCCAGGGCUAUUGUGUUUGUUGUGGAUAGUGCAGCAUUCCAGCGAGAGGUGAAAGAUGUGGCUGAGUUUCUGUAUCAAGUCCUCAUUGACAGUAUGGGUCUGAAGAAUACACCAUCAUUCUUAAUAGCCUGCAAUAAGCAAGAUAUUGCAAUGGCAAAAUCAGCAAAGUUAAUUCAACAGCAGCUGGAGAAAGAACUCAACACCUUACGAGUUACCCGUUCUGCUGCCCCCAGCACACUGGACAGUUC
Molecule: small RNA, 555 nt
Filed under: Pan troglodytes (chimpanzee)
Lineage: Eukaryota; Metazoa; Chordata; Mammalia; Primates; Hominidae
Description: retained intron
Source: RNAcentral